UCAAAAAAAAACACAGCUUCACCAACUGACGCCAGGAAGUGCAACAAUUGCGGAUCGAGGAGAGGUUCUACUUCUGCCCCAUUAUCACAAAAGAGAGAGCUUUCUUCAAUGGGAGUUGUUUCAUUCUCUCCAACCGUAAUUCCUCCCAUUCCACUGUCAAAUUCUUCUCCAUUUCCUUCCAAAUCAAAUCAAGUGUUGGAAUCCCUAGAAUACUUAUAAAAAAAAAAAAAAGGUGUUGGAAUCCCUAGAAGUCCUAGUUGGAUUUGAAUCCACGACCUUUAAGGUUUUUAUCUCUUGCCCUUUUGCUUCUUUUCUUUUGCUCAUACUUGUCAAAAAAUUAGGGAUAUUUUUUUUUCGUUUUCCCAACUUUUAGCUGAAUUGAGCCUCAUAAAACAUUUGGAUUUGUCGUUCUUGGACUUCGAAAGUUAAACAUGGACAUGAAAGCAAUUGCUAUGCUCGGUUGCGUAUAAAAUGUGGUACACGAAAGUAAAAUACUUUCUCUGCAGCUGUUUAUCAAUCAGCAGAUGCUACUUAACACUAACUAUCGAUGGUUUAGUUGGAGGUUCUGAGACUCCGAAUACUUCGUCGCUCAUCUGCGGUGCAGAUUUAGACAAGUCUCUUUAGGUAUCACCUUUUGUUAUCAUCCGAAGGAUGCCAGGCCUCAACAUUUUUAGCUUGUUGCAAAGAAAGCUUCUGAGGUGUUUGCAGUGGACAUUCAUCCCGGGGCACAGGCCAUGGAGGGCAGACUUGUACUCGGGAACUUUCUGUCUGUGGGGUUUGUGGAGCCCGGUUUAUUGUUGUGGCGGCCCAACCUGAUGACCCGACCAGGCCCGACAAGAAUUCGUUUCGGUUUUUUAGUGGAUUUUCAAUGAGGCGUGUGCCAUGGAGCGCAAGCUUGGGGCGAUAGACAGAAAGUUUGCAGUGGACAUUCAUCCUGAGGCGGAGAUUGGACGUGGGAUACUACUUGAUCAUGCAACAGGGGUUGCGAUCAGCGGCCCAGUGGUGAUAGGAAAUAAUGUGUCAAUUUUGCAUAACGUGACUUUGGGAGGGACUGGCGAGGAUAAUGGGGACAGGCACCCAAUGAUUGGAGAUGCAGUGUUGAUAGGAGCGGGGACCAAUGUGAAUUUGAAAAUUGGGGAGGGUGCGAAGAUUGGCACUGGUUCAAUGGUGUUGAAGGAAGUGCCAUCAAGAACUACUGCAGUUGGGAACCCUGCUACAUUGGUUCGAGGCAAGGCCAAGCCUGCUAGGCAUGAUCAUAUUCCUAGUUUAUUCCUAGACCAUACUUCACACGAGUGGUCUGAUUAUGUCAUAUAGAGCCUAUUCUUUGUAUUGUAAGAGAACAGAAGUUAUCUCUAAAAGGGAACCGCAGUAUGUAUGUAAGAAAGGGUUAAUAGAGAGAGCACAAUCCUCUUUUAUACUUUAGUAUUCCACGUACGUGUGUAUCCUUACUAAUUCAAUUUGUUUUGAAGCAAUCUUACUGCUGUUGCAAACUCGAGGCAACUCAAUAAAGCAUUGCACAACCAAUUGGUCAGCUGUGCAAAUCCUUUUUCACUAGUGUUUUGGGAUUAGGUUCUCUUAAAUCUUUAGAGACUUUGAGAGGAUUUAUCAAAGGAUGCCUGCUCAAUGAUAAGGUAUCAUUCUGAGAUAUGUUAUGGGGGGUUCCUAAGCUAAUGAAUGUUGGUGGGGGUGUCGAGGAUCAGCUUCCGCUGGCAUAUUUUGGUGUUAUUGUUAGCUGCAAUUGCAUUGAAAGCUGUGGAUUGAAAUCUUAUAGCUAAUAAUCGGUAUCCAUAUCAUUUUACAGGAUUAAUAAAGGAAGCAAAGUGAACAAGCAGCAACAAUCCCAAGUUUGGUUAUGCUCCAACAAAUUUGAAAUUCUGAUGUGCCCCAUGUGUUGCUUUUGUUGUCAUGAUACAUCUGCAAAUUGCAAUCUCCUUUUCGAGUCAUGGCUUUCAGUUUUUGGUAUAUGCUUGAAUUUGACCUUUAAGCAUGAUUGCUAGAAGAUAAGAAUUCUCCCCUGAGGAAAAAAAAUCAACCUUUAUCAAUGCGUAUAUCUAAGACUAUUCAUCUAGGCCGGAUUUUUUCCCUGCCCGGUCCGGAACCUGGAUAACCGAGUUUUGGCUUGAAAUAACCACGGGUCAGUACCCACUUUUUUAAACCUGGGCCUAUCCGGCCCGGAUGCAGGUUUUUACACCCGGUACCCGGGUUUAGAUAUAAAAGGCAUUGUUACCAACUUACCCCGUUACUCGGAGAUGCCCUAGCCCCCCCCCCCUUCUCUCUCUCUCUCUCUCUCUCUCUCUCUCUCUCUCUCUCUCUGCGAAGUCGAUGCCCUACGCCUCCCUCCCCCCGAUUCCUUUCUCUCAUCUGCUCUUUCUCUCUCUCGCUCUGCUCUGCAUUUGCAAUGCCCUAGCCCCUCCCGAAAUCACUCUCUCAUCUGCUCUCUCUCUCUCUCUUUGCAUCUGCGAUACACUAGCCCCUCCCGAAAUCACUCUCAUAUGCUCUAUCUCUCUCUCUGCCAUCUGUGAUGCCGAACGGUGGAAGUGCUUGAGCUUGGGAUCCAAGAGAUUAGAACGUAUUUCCGUUUGGGUUGUAACAAAUACUCCUUUCCCAUAUGGCAUGCAACAACAUCAAAUACUAGUUUCUGAUUCAGCCAAGAGAGCUUGUCAAAACUACUAUCCUGUGAUUGUUGAAAGAAGAGCUAAUUGCUAGACAAAUUUUUGAUUUUUUGCAAACAAUUUGUUGUGUAUUAGAGUUUGAUUAAAGCAAUGUAUGUAUUUUGUAAGAUUCUUAGAAAAUUAGUUCAAACAAUGUAAUAUGUAGUUGAUUACAUCUUAU
Juglans regia (Persian walnut) is the source of this 2832-nucleotide long non-coding RNA. RefSeq lists it as uncharacterized. NCBI's taxonomy places the organism in Eukaryota, Viridiplantae, Streptophyta, Magnoliopsida, Fagales, Juglandaceae. The record is from RefSeq and is a predicted model, not a curated record. The transcript is spliced from 3 exons.